GGUACCAUCUAGAACAUUCUGAUAGACAGGUAGGUACCAUCUAGAACAUUCUGAUAGACAGGUAGGUACCAUCUAGAACAUUCUGAUAGACAGGUAGGUACCAUCUAGAACAUUCUGAUAGACAGGUAGGUACCAUCUAGAACAUUCUGAUAGACGGGUAGGUACCAUCUAGAACAUUCUGAUAGACAGGUAGGUACCAUCUAGAACAUUCUGAUAGACAGGUAGGUACCAUCUAGAACAUUCUGAUAGACAGGUAGGUACCAUCUAGAACAUUCUGAUAGACAGGUAGGUACCAUCUAGAACAUUCUGUUAGACGGGUAGGUACCAUCUAGAACAGUCUGAUAGACAGGUAGGUACCAUCUAGAACAGUCUGAUAGACAGGUAGGUACCAUCUAGAACAGUCUGUUAGACGGGUAGGUACCACCUAGAACAUUCUGAUAGACGGGUAGGUACCAUCUAGAACAGUCUGAUAGACAGGUAGGUACCAUCUAGAACAUUCUGAUAGACGGGUAGGUACCAUCUAGAACAGUCUGAUAGACAGGUAGGUACCAUCUAGAACAUUCUGAUAGACAGGUAGGUACCAUCUAGAACAUUCUGUUAGACGGGUAGGUACCAUCUAGAACAGUCUGAUAGACAGGUAGGUACCAUCUAGAACAGUCUGAUAGACAGGUAGGUACCAUCUAGAACAGUCUGAUAGACAGGUAGGUACCAUCUAGAACAGUCUGAUAGACAGGUAGGUACCAUCUAGAACAGUCUGAUAGACAGGUAGGUACCAUCUAGAACAUUCUGAUAGACGGGUAGGUACCAUCUAGAACAGUCUGAUAGACAGGUAGGUACCAUCUAGAACAGUCUGAUAGACAGGUAGGUACCAUCUAGAACAUUCUGAUAGACGGGUAGGUACCAUCUAGAACAUUCUGAUAGACGGGUAGGUACCAUCUAGAACAUUCUGAUAGACAGGUAGGUACCAUCUAGAACAUUCUGAUAGACGGGUAGGUACCAUCUAGAACAUUCUGAUAGACAGGUAGGUACCAUCUAGAACAUUCUGAUAGACAGGUAGGUACCAUCUAGAACAUUCUGAUAGACAGGUAGGUACCAUCUAGAACAUUCUGAUAGACGGGUAGGUACCAUCUAGAACAUUCUGAUAGACAGGUAGGUACCAUCUAGAACAUUCUGAUAGACAGGUAGGUACCAUCUAGAACAUUCUGUUAGACGGGUAGGUACCACCUACUACAGAACGUUCUCAUAAACCAGGUUUCCAUCCAACCAUUUCAUGCGGAUGAAUUACCGGGCUCAGGAAAGAAGUCAUGACGCGGCUGAUGGAAACAGGAAAUGCCGGUACAAUUUUAUUAAUGCCGACAGACAAUGUGUUUAUUCAACAUGGAAUCUUUUUGUGUCUGUAAAAUGAAUUGUGUGAUAAAUUGCGGUGGGAAGUCUUUACCCAAACAUAUGUCGUGUGGUCCUCCCACUAUGACUCAGGAAAGCAUGCAGUUUAUUAGUGUCCAGAUGCACUAUGUGAUGAACUUCACAGGGUGCUGACAGUACAAGGUGAUGAGCUUGAUGCUGCUUUCCAAUAAAUAACUAAAUGUUUUACCCAAAUUAAACAAUUUAAAGGCAAUGCUACCAAAUACUAAUUGUGUGUAUGUAACCUUCUGACCCAUUGGGAAUGUGAUGAAAGAAAUACAAGCUGAAAUAAAUCAUUCUUUCUACUAAUAUUCUGACAUUUCACAUUCUUAAAAUGAAGUGAUCUUAACUGACCUAAAACAGGGAAUUUCUACUAGGAUUACAUGUCAGGAAUUGUGAAAAACUGAGUUUAAAUGUAUUUGGCUAAGGUGUAUGUAAACUUCUGACUUCAACUGUAUGUAACAGAGUUGUUGUCCUGGGUCCUGUUCAGUAGGUCUGGAACAGAGUGAAACUGGGAGGCACUAUCUUAACGUGUCCAAUAAGAAACUUGUAGAUCUAGAUAUUUUUGUUGUGUACAUGUUUGUUACUGACAUGCUGCUUGUUGUAUUGAUGUAAGUUUUGCCUGGUUGAUGUCAUGUCUGAAUCUGAUGUUGCUUCUGUCUUGGUCCAGGCCCCCUGAAAAAGUUUUAUUUCAACGAGACUAACCUGGUUAAAUGAAUCAAAUAAUUCACUCUGCUCUUUCUCUCCCUCAUCUCUCUACCCUCCCUCCUGGUCUCUCUACCCUCCCUCACUCCACUCCCUCCUGGUCUCUCUACCCUCCCUCACUCCACUCCCUCCUGGUCUCUCUACCCUCCCUCACUCCACUCCCUCCUGGUCUCUCUACCCUCCCUCACUCCACUCCCUCCUGGUCUCUCUACCCUCCCUCACUCCACUCCCUCCUGGUCUCUCUACCCUCCCUCACUCCACUCCCUCCUGGUCUCUCUACCCUCCC
Long non-coding RNA from Oncorhynchus keta (chum salmon), 2392 nucleotides. RefSeq lists it as uncharacterized. NCBI's taxonomy places the organism in Eukaryota, Metazoa, Chordata, Actinopteri, Salmoniformes, Salmonidae. The record is from RefSeq and is a predicted model, not a curated record. The transcript is spliced from 4 exons.